Molecule: long non-coding RNA, 494 nt
Organism: Pocillopora damicornis (cauliflower coral)
Lineage: Eukaryota; Metazoa; Cnidaria; Anthozoa; Scleractinia; Pocilloporidae
Source: RefSeq, a predicted model, not a curated record
CACGCCCUCCUCGGUUGAUUUCCUCCGGGAAAGGAGUCACAGUUUUUGGUCGCUUGUUCAGGCUGUGGAUAGGCUACUAAGCAUAACCAAGAUGGCUUCCAGGUACAAUGGAAUGGCCUGGCCGCCUUGCACCGGUACGCUGUGGAAAAAAAGGACACAGGUCCUGCGGUCAGUCGGAAGCAAAAGUGUUUCAGUAAUAGCACCACAUCUUGGCUCAACAACUUGGCAUGGUCCGUGGAAAAAAGAUUCGUGUCUGCACGUAAAAAAUUAAAGAUAAGCAGGUUACCCGGGUCCCCGUCGAUUUACGCCAGCUGCAGCUAAAGACAUGCGCAAUUGAAUAAUUCUAACGUGGUUCGAGUUUCUUUUCUUUUGAAACCCUUUGCUACUAAAGAGUGACCAGCACUUGAUUUCUCUAAACAGCAUCACUGCCGAAUCAAACGCUUACGUCAUUAUAAUAAAGGAACUGAUCACCAACUAAAGAAGCUCUUGACUGU